GAUGAACGCUGGCGGCGUGCCUAAUACAUGCAAGUCGAGCGAACAGACCAGGAGCUUUCUCCCCUGACGUUGUCGCCGGACGGGAGCGUCACACGUGGAUAACCUACCUAUACGACUGGGAUAACUACAGGAAACAGGAUCUACUACCGGAUAAUAUAUUGAACUGCAUUGUUCCAUCGUUAAAUUCGCUUCUGCUGUGACUUAUAGAUUAAUCCGCGCCGCAUUAGCUAGUGGGGAAGGUAACGGCUUACCAAGGCAAGGAUGGGUACCCGACCUGAAAGGGUGAUCGGCCACACUGGAACUGAGACACGGUCGAGACUCCUAGGGGAGGCAGCAGUAGGGAAUCUUCCGCAAGGGGCGAAAGCCUGACGGAGCAAAGCCGCGUGAGUGAUGAAGGUGUUCGGAUCGGAAAGCUCUGUUAUUAGUGAAGAACAAAUGUGUAAGUAACUAGGCACAUCUUGACGGUACCGAAUGAGAAAGCCACGGCUAACUACGUG
This 497-nucleotide ribosomal RNA is filed under the name uncultured bacterium. Its description in RNAcentral is "partial 16S ribosomal RNA". It matches the Rfam family "Bacterial small subunit ribosomal RNA", at positions 28 to 507 of the family's 1533-position model. The record is from RNAcentral.